GUAGACAUAGUUUUAACACAAAACAUUAGAUUGUGAUUCUAAAAAUAGGGGUUCAACCCCCCUUGUCCACC
Molecule: transfer RNA, 71 nt
Filed under: Chelidoperca hirundinacea
Lineage: Eukaryota; Metazoa; Chordata; Actinopteri; Perciformes; Serranidae
Also listed under: 1 other name
Description: tRNA-His
Rfam family: tRNA
About the family: Transfer RNA (tRNA) molecules are approximately 80 nucleotides in length. Their secondary structure includes four short double-helical elements and three loops (D, anti-codon, and T loops). Further hydrogen bonds mediate the characteristic L-shaped molecular structure. tRNAs have two regions of fundamental functional importance: the anti-codon, which is responsible for specific mRNA codon recognition, and the 3' end, to which the tRNAs corresponding amino acid is attached (by aminoacyl-tRNA synthetases). tRNAs cope with the degeneracy of the genetic code in two manners: having more than one tRNA (with a specific anti-codon) for a particular amino acid; and 'wobble' base-pairing, i.e. permitting non-standard base-pairing at the 3rd anti-codon position.
Source: RNAcentral